CGUAGGUGGCAAGCGUUGUCCGGAAUUAUUGGGCGUAAAGGAUGCGUAGGCGGUUUUUUAAGUGGGAUGUGCAAUACCUAGGCUUAACUUAGGAAUGGCAUUCCAAACUGGAAGACUAGAGUGCAGGAGAGGAAAGUGGAAUUCCCAGUGUAGCGGUGAAAUGCGUAGAGAUUGGGAGGAACACCAGUGGCGAAGGCGACUUUCUGGACUGUAACUGACGCUGAGGCAUGAAAGCGUGGGGAGCAAACAGGAUUAGAUACCCUGGUAGUCCACGCUGUAAACGAUGAGUACUAGGUGUGGGGGGCGAAGCCCUCUGUGCCGCAGUUAACACAAUAAGUACUCCGCCUGGGAAGUACGAUCGCAAGAUUA
This 369-nucleotide ribosomal RNA is filed under the name uncultured organism. RNAcentral describes it as "bacterial SSU rRNA". It matches the Rfam family "Bacterial small subunit ribosomal RNA", at positions 526 to 896 of the family's 1533-position model. The record is from RNAcentral.